This 457-nucleotide ribosomal RNA is filed under the name uncultured bacterium. Its description in RNAcentral is "bacterial SSU rRNA". It matches the Rfam family "Bacterial small subunit ribosomal RNA", at positions 340 to 784 of the family's 1533-position model. The record is from RNAcentral.
UACGGGAGGCAGCAGUGGGGAAUAUUGCACAAUGGGCGAAAGCCUGAUGCAGCUAUGCCGCGUGUAUGAAGAAGGCCUUAGGGUUGUAAAGUACUUUCAUCGGGGAGGAAAAAACAAAACUAAUAAUUUUAUUUCUUGACGUUACCCGAAAAAGAAGCACCGGCUAACUCCGUGCCAGCAGCCGCGGUAAUACGGAGGGUGCUAGCGUUAAUCAGAAUUACUGGGCGUAAAGAGCACGUAGGUGGUUUUUUUAAAGUCAGAUGUGAAAUCCCUGGGCUUAACCUAGGAACUGCAUUUUGAAACUGAAAUACUAGAGUAUCGUAGAGGGAGGUAGAAUUCUAGGUGUAGCGGUUGAAAUGCGUAGAUAUCUGGAGGAAUACCUGUGGCGAAAGCGGCCUCCUAAACGAAUACUGACACUGAGGGUGCGAAAGCGUGGGGAGCAAACAGGGAUUAGAUA